RNAcentral lists this ribosomal RNA (253 nucleotides) under uncultured bacterium. RNAcentral describes it as "partial 16S ribosomal RNA". It matches the Rfam family "Bacterial small subunit ribosomal RNA", at positions 524 to 776 of the family's 1533-position model. The record is from RNAcentral.
UACGAAGGGGGCUAGCGUUGCUCGGAAUCACUGGGCGUAAAGGGUGCGUAGGCGGGUUUUUAAGUCAGGGGUGAAAUCCUGGAGCUCAACUCCAGAACUGCCUUUGAUACUGGCGACCUUGAGUCCGGGAGAGGUGAGUGGAACUGCGAGUGUAGAGGUGAAAUUCGUAGAUAUUCGCAAGAACACCAGUGGCGAAGGCGGCUCACUGGCCCGGUACUGACGCUGGGGUGCGAAAGCGUGGGGAGCAAACAGG